This 96-nucleotide ribosomal RNA is filed under the name uncultured bacterium. Its description in RNAcentral is "partial 16S ribosomal RNA". The record is from RNAcentral.
CCGCCCGUCACACCAUGAGAGCUGUCUGUACCCAAAGAGAUCUUAGCUAACCCGUAAGGGAUGCGGAUAAUCAAGGUAUGGGGAGUGAUUGGGGUG